GACGAACGCUGGCGGCGUGCCUAAUACAUGCAAGUAGAACGCUGAAGGAGGAGCUUGCUUCUCUGGAUGAGUUGCGAACGGGUGAGUAACGCGUAGGUAACCUGCCUGGUAGCGGGGGAUAACUAUUGGAAACGAUAGCUAAUACCGCAUAAUAGUAGAUGUUGCAUGACAUUUACUUAAAAGGUGCAAUUGCAUCACUACCAGAUGGACCUGCGUUGUAUUAGCUAGUUGGUGGGGUAACGGCUCACCAAGGCGACGAUACAUAGCCGACCUGAGAGGGUGAUCGGCCACACUGGGACUGAGACACGGCCCAGACUCCUACGGGAGGCAGCAGUAGGGAAUCCUCGGCAAUGGACGAAAGUCUGACCGAGCAACGCCGCGUGAGUGAAGAAGGUUUUCGGAUCGUAAAGCUCUGUUGUAAGAGAAGAACGAGUGUGAGAGUGGAAAGUUCACACUGUGACGGUAGCUUACCAGAAAGGGACGGCUAACUACGUG
Molecule: ribosomal RNA, 495 nt
Filed under: uncultured bacterium
Lineage: Bacteria
Description: partial 16S ribosomal RNA
Rfam family: Bacterial small subunit ribosomal RNA
Source: RNAcentral